RNAcentral lists this transfer RNA (73 nucleotides) under archaeon. Its description in RNAcentral is "tRNA-Ala". It matches the Rfam family "tRNA". Rfam says of the family: Transfer RNA (tRNA) molecules are approximately 80 nucleotides in length. Their secondary structure includes four short double-helical elements and three loops (D, anti-codon, and T loops). The record is from RNAcentral.
GGGCUCAUAGCUCAGUUAGUAGAGCGUUACCUUCGCAAGGUAAAGGCCGCGGGUGCAAUUCCCGCUGAGUCCA